AGGAUGAACGCUGGCGGCGUGCUUAACACAUGCAAGUCACGGGGGGUAGCAAUACCAACCGGCGAACGGGUGCGUAACACGUGAGCAACCUACCGAUUUGAGGGGGAUAGCUGGCCUAACGGCCAGGUAAUACCGCAUACGCUUGUAAGGCCUCCUGGUCUAACAAGGAAACCUCCGGGGCAGAUCGAGGGGCUCGCGGCCUAUCAGCUAGUUGGCGAGGUCACGGCUCACCAAGGCGACGACGGGUAGC
RNAcentral lists this ribosomal RNA (250 nucleotides) under uncultured bacterium. RNAcentral's name for it is "partial small subunit ribosomal RNA". It matches the Rfam family "Bacterial small subunit ribosomal RNA", at positions 26 to 287 of the family's 1533-position model. The record is from RNAcentral.